GGCUGCUGUCUCACCGGGAGGAGGCCCUGGGUGGCUCUGCGGUGAGGAGGUAAGUCUGACCUUGGCCUCGCUGUCUCAGUGUGACCUGAACCUAUUGGCUUAACCAUGGGAGUUCCAGGGUGCUGGCUGUCAGGUGGUGGCACUCGUCCCAGAGUGUAAGGUUGAAGUGAGAACAUAGGAAGCCGGGUUGAGAUGUUUCGGUUAUCACACACAUGCAAAGGGCUGGGCCGCGCACCUCUUCCUCCUGAGCGCGUGGUUCUCGCUUCUCCAGCCUGAGGUCUGAUCCUUUCCCUGGCUCCUUGUUACUCUGUCCCCAGCCUUACUGGCCUUCCUUUAGACUGUAGAAUGAACUGUGCUCUUUCCUUCCUUGGUCCCCUGUUCCUGCACUGCCCUUCUAUCCUCUGUAUGUCUGGCCGGGAGAGCUCAGCCCAGGCACCCCUCCUCAGGGCAGCCCUUGGUGAUCCUCCAAAUGGGCCAACUCUUCUUUGUAGCCACAUGAGCCAAAGCACGCCUUCCUCACUGUGCUCACCUCCACUGCCGUUUACAUGCAUUUGUACGUCCCCUGUCUCAUGGGGGCAUGUCCUGAGGACAGUCAGGCAGCCCUACCACAAGGCUCCCCAGGAGGAACUGAACCCUUAGCUGGUUCCCACCCACAGCCAUGUGACUGAGCCACCUUGAAGAGUAUCCUCCAGCUGUGUCAAGCCCUCAGAUGGCUGCAGCUGGAGGUAUUGGGCCAGAGCCACCCAGCCAAGCCACUCCACCUCCUGACCCUGGGACUCAAGAGCCAAUAUGUGAUGACUGCUGCUUCCAGCAGUAGGUUUGGGGUAUUUGUUACACCAAAUAGACAACUAGUGCAGAUCCAGGUGCCUGGAAGUGGGGUGCUACCAUGACAAAUGUGGGGGUGGCUUUGGGACUGGACAUGGGCAGAGCUGGAGGGAAAGGCGUUUGAAAACUUAAAGGGAGUGUUUUAGUCAGCUGUUUUUUGCUGCUGUGACUUAAAGACCUGAGCAGAACAAUUAUAGAGGAAGAAAGGUUUAUUUAGGAGCCCACGGUUUCAGAGGUCUAAAUCCAUAGACAGCAGGCUCCCUUCCUCAGGGCUCGAGGUNUAAGGUUGAAGUGAGAACAUAGGAAGCCGGGUUGAGAUGUUUCGGUUAUCACACACAUGCAAAGGGCUGGGCCGCGCACCUCUUCCUCCUGAGCGCGUGGUUCUCGCUUCUCCAGCCUGAGGUCUGAUCCUUUCCCUGGCUCCUUGUUACUCUGUCCCCAGCCUUACUGGCCUUCCUUUAGACUGUAGAAUGAACUGUGCUCUUUCCUUCCUUGGUCCCCUGUUCCUGCACUGCCCUUCUAUCCUCUGUAUGUCUGGCCGGGAGAGCUCAGCCCAGAGCUCAGCCCAGGCACCCCUCCUCAGGGCAGCCCUUGGUGAUCCUCCAAAUGGGCCAACUCUUCUUUGUAGCCACAUGAGCCAAAGCACGCCUUCCUCACUGUGCUCACCUCCACUGCCGUUUACAUGCAUUUGUACGUCCCCUGUCUCAUGGGGGCAUGUCCUGAGGACAGUCAGGCAGCCCUACCACAAGGCUCCCCAGGAGGAACUGAACCCUUAGCUGGUUCCCACCCACAGCCAUGUGACUGAGCCACCUUGAAGAGUAUCCUCCAGCUGUGUCAAGCCCUCAGAUGGCUGCAGCUGGAGGUAUUGGGCCAGAGCCACCCAGCCAAGCCACUCCACCUCCUGACCCUGGGACUCAAGAGCCAAUAUGUGAUGACUGCUGCUUCCAGCAGUAGGUUUGGGGUAUUUGUUACACCAAAUAGACAACUAGUGCAGAUCCAGGUGCCUGGAAGUGGGGUGCUACCAUGACAAAUGUGGGGGUGGCUUUGGGACUGGACAUGGGCAGAGCUGGAGGGAAAGGCGUUUGAAAACUUAAAGGGAGUGUUUUAGUCAGCUGUUUUUUGCUGCUGUGACUUAAAGACCUGAGCAGAACAAUUAUAGAGGAAGAAAGGUUUAUUUAGGAGCCCACGGUUUCAGAGGUCUAAAUCCAUAGACAGCAGGCUCCCUUCCUCAGGGCUCGAGGUGAGGCAGAAUAUCAUGGCAGAGGGAAACAGCUCACAUGUUGAUCAGGAAGCAGAGAAGGUCUCCCAUCGUCAGAGACAAGUAUAUACCCCAAAGCGACGCCACCAGUGAACCACUUCCUCCAGCCACACCUCACCUGCCUCCAGUUACCACCCAGUUAAUCCCAUCAGGGGGGGGUCAAUACACUGAUUAGGUUAAGGAUGUAACCCAGCCAUUUCUCCUUCAAACCUUCUUGCAUUGUCUCACAUGUGAGCUUUUGGAGGACACCACAUCUAAACCAUAGCAGGGAGUUCAAGAGACUCUGAUGACCUCCUUGAACAUCAGUAAGAACAGAAAAGAAAGUGAGGACAUGUUAUUGGAAAAUGGAGGACAAAGGUUCUUUAGUAUGCUAUCAUAAAAAGUUCAGCAGUGCUGCCACUUGUAACCUGGAACCCAGAGCAUGCUCCUAAUGAACUGGUGACCAGGCGUGGAGUUUCAGGCAGUGUUGGAGUAUCAUUACUGGGAAAUAGUGGGACUGGAUUCUAACCAAGGAACUGUGGACAUCAGCUCUGCUGGAUUUCAGAAUUGCUGUGGACCAGGACUCCUGCAGACCUCCUGUUUCCCCCCUUUUUGAGCAAGGAGAGGGAAUCCAGAACAACUAUCCCACCAUCAAUUCCUAUCCCACCAUGGAAGCUGGGUGUGUGGGGUGCAGGUGAUUUGCCUCUUAAGCUGGGAGUCCUCAGUUUGAGAGAAACUAUCCUCAAGGCACCGCAGGCCCAUUGCUACCCCCAGAUGUGAUUUGGAUGAUGAGACCCUGAACCUGCAGCGUAUGUGGUUGGGAGCCAUCUUGGGAGCUUUGGAAGCCUCAGGAGUGCGGUAAUUGUAAUGUUGAAGGGAUGUAAGUUACUGGGGGCCAGAAGACCAUGAUUCCAAGUGUCUGAGAUGUCCCCAGUGAGCCUGCCUCAGGGUACGCAUUCCCUUUGUUGUUCCCUCCCACAGUGCAUUCAACCUUUGUGACCAACAGACUCUGUGGAGAUGGUGCAGCUGUGACUGCUGAGAUUGCUCAACAGCUGUGUUCAUGUUAGUCUCUUGGAUGACUUGCCCAGGGAGACAUCAGCCACCAUGUCAGGAGGACACUCAAGCAGUGCACGAAGAGGAACUGAGGCCUCUAGCUGACAGCCAGAACCAACCUGCCAGCUGUGAGAAGGAGCCACUCUGGAAAUGGACUUUCCAUUCUCUACCCCCAAGGUCAAGCCCUCAGGGUCUGCCAUCUUGGCCAACAACGUAGCUUCCACCCCAUGAGAGACCCUGAGUCAGGACCUGUGGGGGAUCAAAAGUGACUGCCAUUGUUUUGGACCACUAGUUUGUUAGGCAACAGUAGAGGAUAGCAUAGGCCCCUUCUGCCAGUUUUCUCUUUUCCGGCCUUCUUUAUUUUGGUUCGGUUGGCUGGCCUUAGCCUUGUGUCCACACACCUGAGCAACCAGGAUGAGGGUAAGGUGAGGCAGGCACCCAGGCUUCCUUCAGUUUUAUGCCCUGGCUGCCUGAGCUUCUCACCCUCGUCUGGCCCUGUAUCUGACUUCUGCACAAUCCCAUAAAAGGCCAGUCCUGGUGACCUUGCCCUUGACCUAGCUGCCUGACUCUACUGCUGGUCCCUGUGCACCUGCCUUACUUCCUGUGGAGAAACCUGCAGGUUUUAUGGUUUAUUAGAGCUGAGGGUAAACCCCUGCUGUCCAUUAAGAAAGUAGGUGGAGAAACGGAGGGGUUGGCCACCACCAGUUGAGGACGCCCCACAUGGACCUCACCGUGGCCCUUGCACCAGCCCUGAGGUGAGUGGAGAGGGCUUUGGCUGGGAAGAGUGGGUGGUUGGUAGCACCUUGACCUUAGAGGGGAAACAGGCCUCUGUGCAGCCCCAGAGUGGGCCAGGAAAGGAUGGCCUUCCUCGGGGUAGGGAAGGGAAGCCCCCCUGGAGCCUGGCUGGGACAUUCUUCUGAAGGAACAGAAGAAAAAUCACACUAGUAACACAUCAAGUGACUCCUGCACAUGCUUCCUCUCAUUCAAUUCUCCUGACAGCCAAACCCACCUGUUUCUGGUCCUCAAAAUAAGCUGAGUCCCUCACCCCCAAUUCCUCAAAUCUGCAAAGCUCUGAGAACCAAAAGAUUUUUGAGGACAGAACUGAGGUGCGGUUAUAUUUGGUCUUCAUCAUCCCAUUGACUGUAAAUAUCAGAAUGCUUCCCUACAGAAAGAUCAACGUGUUUGUUUGCAGGGUGCCCCCCCAGAACCCACUGGGUGUUGGGUCAUGCACCAGGUAACUUUUCUAAAAUCUAACAUUUCUGACUUUUGAAACAUCUGGUCCGAAGAUAAAGCACAGCGGCCCUGAAUUAUUUCCAUUUUUACCUACGAGGAAAACUGAGUUUCCUUGAAGAACAAACCUAGCCCAGAACCAGGAAGCUUCCAGGGCAGGUGCAGAUUUGAACUCAGGGCUCUCAGCCAGCACAUCCCACUCUCUCAACCCAGGAAUGAGCCCUGGGCUCCUUACAUGCCUGUGAAUUCACAAGUUUAGUGAGACAGUGUUUGCUCCCUGCACGGUGACAGUCUGUCCCAUCCUCUUGUCCUAAGGAGCGUGAUGGCCCCGGGCCUGAGACUGCCAUCCACUCCUCGACCCACCAAUCUCGAGGCCCAUUAGAUCUGGCACUCUGAGAUCUUCAUGGAGCCCGUUCAGUCGUUUUUGUAAUGAACUUCAAAAAGCUUUCUGUGUUUGGGGUAUUUAUUGUUCCUGGACCCAGUGGCAAGCGGAGAUUUAUCCUCAGAAAGCCUGGGGUUUAAUGAAGCUUUUUGUAGUACAAAUAUGUUCAUGUGACUGAAAUAGAAUAAGCUCUUGGGCAUUUCUUCUCAUUGUCCCCUUUUGUGUCAUCUCUCCCUCACUCCAAACCCUUGCUUAUCCUCUGGCCCUGCCAGAACUUCCCUCUGAUCCUAUUCUCCUUCAGUAAUUAACUCAUCCAACAAGCACUCAGUGAGUCCCUGUGGCUGCAGACAAUGUGGUAGAAGAGGUUUUAUGGCUUAUUAGAAGAGCACUGGUCGGACAGACAAAAGAUCGAGGUCCUGGUGCUGUAAGCAUUUAGACAGGGCCCUUCUCUGCUCUGGACCUCCGCUUAACCAUGUGUGAAGUAAGAAGAUAAUUGAGAGGGUGAAAAACACAUCAAUCACAAAGUGCAGAAACUUCAAAGAUUCAACAAUAAAGGAGUAUGG
Molecule: long non-coding RNA, 5290 nt
Filed under: Marmota monax (woodchuck)
Lineage: Eukaryota; Metazoa; Chordata; Mammalia; Rodentia; Sciuridae
Source: RNAcentral